AUUAGGAGGAGGAUCACUGUUCCUCUGGACCCCAUUGGCAGCACCCACUUGUCUUCCAGGAGCAGAAAGGAGGAACCUGAAGAUUUUAAGGAACACAAUGCAAAGUGAUCAAACUGACAGAUGACGUAACACUGUUAAAAAACGACUGAUUUAUCAUCUGGUUUAGUUUGGUUCUUUUCGUUUUUGUGGUUUCUUCUUCUUCUUUUGGAAAUCUGUUUAAUUGAACUUUUGGUUACUAUUAAGCCAUUGCAUCUCGGGUUUAUAAACUGUGAUUUAUUUAUUUGUAUUUAUGUUUUUCCAAGAUUAGCUCACCAGCUCCACCUAGUGGGGUGCAAACUGACAGACACUGUACUGGUGUUGCCUCAAAAUAAAAUGUACAUGGAUAAACCAUCAA
Long non-coding RNA from Carassius auratus (goldfish), 394 nucleotides. RefSeq lists it as uncharacterized. Lineage: Eukaryota; Metazoa; Chordata; Actinopteri; Cypriniformes; Cyprinidae. The transcript is spliced from 2 exons. The record is from RefSeq and is a predicted model, not a curated record.